Amphiprion ocellaris (clown anemonefish) is the source of this 2525-nucleotide long non-coding RNA. RefSeq lists it as uncharacterized. The record is from RefSeq and is a predicted model, not a curated record. The transcript has 3 exons. NCBI's taxonomy places the organism in Eukaryota, Metazoa, Chordata, Actinopteri, Pomacentridae.
UCAUUUUCUGAGACCGGAAGUGGUCAUCAGCAAGUGUGGAGCCAAACGACAACAAGAUUCUCAGAGGGCGGAGCCAGAGAGCAGUGAUUGGUCAGACCAUAGAUAAUAUAGAAGACAGCGCGCUAGCGGAUCUAGUCUUCUCUGUAUGGUAGCAUCUCUGGCUGCUGUUGACCUUGUUUUUGGAGUAAAACACGGUGGAAGCUGAAUUAGUGAGGAUGACUCCUGCUCCUGUCAUCUCUAAGCUCCUUACACAUCUUUACCUGCACAUGAGGAAAUUCACUCCUGUAGAAUGCAGAUGUUCAGAGGGAGAUGAUGCCACAUCUGGUCCAGCUGAUGGAAGGUCUUGAAGUUCUCUGACUGGCCUGGACUGAAGAUGGUCCUCUCAUUGGAUUUAAGGUUCAGAUGCUCAGUAACAAACUCCACCAAUGUGCCAACAGGGAAGCUUUAGGUUUAUUAAAUGUUGCUAUGAAGGUAUCGCUGUUUUUCUUUGUGAAUGCAAUGUGCUCCAACUGAAACUUGAAUUAGAACUUAGAAGUAAAUCCUUCCAUCUGAAAGGAUCUAGUUGUAUUAAUAACCUCAUAACAUUCUAAUUUUUAUUCCAGUCUUGGUUGGAAAUAGAAUCUCUGUAUUGAUUCAGGUAAAAACUGAACUUCACAGCAUGUUGGAGCAGAACAACCAGAUGAAAACUGUGAUGGUGUUGGAUUGUCAGACCGUAAUGUUGCAGCUCAAAGCAGCUUUUCUAGCUCAGUUCAUUCUGACAUUCAGCUAUGAAUCAACACAGCAGAUGGUGAUCCAUGCUGUGGAAGUCUCACAUCUCCUGAUUUAAUGGAGCUGCUUUGCACUUUUUACAGUUUAUUCACCAACACUUUAUUUAAUAAAAGUCCCAUCUAGUUUUUAUGAGGAAUGUGAUGUUUUAAUUUCUCUGUGAAUAACUGCAGUCUAAUGUAACAGCUGGAGUUGUAACAUCUGUCCUGAUAUUGAUCAUGAAGUAUUGAUCAGAAUACUGAUGGUCAGCAGUCAUCCCUGAAGUUUUACAUUGAAAUCUUUACUUGUGUUGUGAACUUUGGUAAGAAGCAGAAACUUCAGCGUUGCCAUGGAUACAUGAGUGUUAAAUUCUGUCCAUGUUUCCAUUUUGGGAAAUUCAGUCCAGCAGAUGAGUUUGUUUUUACUGCCAGCUACCAUUCAGUCUGAGAUAUUAAGAAUAAAUAAAUGGGCAUAAUGUGGAAAUGAACAGAUUUUAUUUUUAUUUAUUCCUACAGGUGAUGCAGUUAAAGUUCCAGAAUGUGGAGGAAUUUAGUCUCACAAUCACAGACAACAAAUAUUAUCUGAAAGUUGGGUUAUUGUUGUUUAUCAGCAGAAUACAAAAAGAUUCAUGUUAGAAAUAUUCCAGUUAAUACUCUAGAAUAUCAUGAUUUAUGUAACUUUACCUCAGUAUUAUAAAUGUUCAGGUUAAGAUUGUGCAGUGAUAUUUAUUAUGUAAGUUUAGCUGAUUAAAGUUUAUGACUCUGCACUACAAUGUUAUUUAUUUAAAUUUACAUCAUUAUUAUAUUUAGGGUCAGACCCUACAGUAUUGAGAUUAAGAGAUCAAAUAUUCUAUAAAAUGUAAAUACACUGAACUCAUUUGGAUAUAUUUAAGUGAGACUCUACAAUAUUAUUCGACACAAAUCUGUAAAUCAAAAUUUUAAUCAUUUUUACGCCAAACAUUUACUGGACUGAUUUAAACAUUAAAAUCACUCCUUUCUAAUCCUCUGCUGUACGUUCAAACCUGAGGCCUGAAAUAGAAACACACAAGUAUCUGAUUGAAGGAACUUCUGCAGAGUCCUGGUUCCAGAACAUGAUGAUAGAAUUAUAGACAAACUUUAACAAAAGCUGCCUGAGAGUUUACAGGUUUUUAUGUUAGAUUUCCUCAGUAAUUUAAUGAGAGUUAUCAGCAAAAAUCAAGUUAUCAUUUGAUGAACUUCAUUUCCUAAAUCAUCCAGAAUUGGAGCUCAUAUCUUUGGCAGCUGUAAAGUUUCUGCUCCUUCAAAGUUCAUAACACAAUGAAUUAAUUCCUAAAACACUCUCAAUGCUGGAGAGUGUUUGAUGCUGAAGCAGCGACCAGUUUUUCUGUUUCUUCUCUGGAGAUGCACAAUGAGGGACGUCUGCAGAGACUGAGAAAGAGUCUCACCACAUCCUGACAUGAGGAAAAAGACUUUAUUGAAGACUACAAUGAGAAAAACUAUCAGACAGCAGACAGCUGCAUUCAAGGUGAGCUCUGAACAUUUGAUCUGGAACAGGAAUUCAAUCAUGGCAGCAUGAGCUUCAUUUCAGUCUGUAGCUGCUGAAUUCAUGGAUGAAUCAUCUGGCACUAGAGAGGAAGACUAUCAAACAUCCACGUCAGCUGAUGGAGGUCCAAGAGUCUCACCCAACAAACAACCUACAGAGGAAGACCUCAAAUCUGAUUGGACGGCCUCCUAUUCAGCCACGUGUGAACAAAUGCCUCUAAGUUGAUUUGUUUUCUAAAAUAAAUCUAGUUUGAGUCCUAA